Molecule: small nuclear RNA, 109 nt
Filed under: Phascolarctos cinereus (koala)
Lineage: Eukaryota; Metazoa; Chordata; Mammalia; Diprotodontia; Phascolarctidae
Source: RNAcentral
GGUGCUUGCUUCAGCAGCAGCAUCAUAUACUAAAAUUGGAAUGAUAUGGAGAUUAGCAUGGCCCCUGCACACGGAUGACAUGCAAAUUUGUGAUGCAUUCCAUAUUUUA